GAUAAGCUUUUACUUUCAGCUCAGGUAUCAAGAUUUGUUUGUCAGAUAAGUUAUUGUUCCAAGUCCGAAGACAAGGUUCUGAUUCUGAAAAUUCUGAUACCUUUGAAAAAUUACAAUGAAUCAUCUUCUGGAGUACACAUCGUUUCACAUCAGAAUAAUUCCAUCAGAAGAUUAAAGAACAAAUUCAUGAUUUCUCCUGCACUCUAUUUACUACUUCAGAUCCGAAGUACCUCACCAGAAGAAAAGAUCAGAAACUCGCACAAGAAGAAUACAGUACAACAUUAUAACACCUUUCCGCUAUUUGUGAAGAACGCAAUGUAG
Non-coding RNA from Vicia faba (fava bean), 321 nucleotides. The record is from the annotation of a GenBank genome assembly. NCBI's taxonomy places the organism in Eukaryota, Viridiplantae, Streptophyta, Magnoliopsida, Fabales, Fabaceae.